This 253-nucleotide ribosomal RNA is filed under the name uncultured bacterium. RNAcentral describes it as "partial 16S ribosomal RNA". It matches the Rfam family "Bacterial small subunit ribosomal RNA", at positions 524 to 776 of the family's 1533-position model. The record is from RNAcentral.
UACGUAGGGUGCGAGCGUUGUCCGGAAUUACUGGGCGUAAAGAGCUCGUAGGUGGUUUGUCGCGUUGUUCGUGAAAACCGGAGGCUUAACCUUCGGCGUGCGGGCGAUACGGGCAGACUGGAGUACUGCAGGGGAGAAUGGAAUUCCUGGUGUAGCGGUGAAAUGCGCAGAUAUCAGGAGGAACACCGGUGGCGAAGGCGGUUCUCUGGGCAUUACCUGACGCUGAGGAGCGAAAGUGUGGGGAGCGAACAGG